Molecule: long non-coding RNA, 854 nt
Filed under: Leptinotarsa decemlineata (Colorado potato beetle)
Lineage: Eukaryota; Metazoa; Arthropoda; Insecta; Coleoptera; Chrysomelidae
Description: uncharacterized LOC111502811, transcript variant X2
Source: RNAcentral
UAAAGUAGGCGAUCUUAAAACAUGUUUUGAAGUGGGAUAAUGACGGUUUUAUCAAGUGUUGAACUUCUGUAAAGUUCAUGUGUACCUUUGUUCACUUGAGAAUCAAACAUCUGAAUAGUGACUGGAAUGAAAAAAAUAGCUAAAUGGAAUAGCUUCGAAGUUUUACAAUAAAGAGAGAGUUACAUAAGCAGAAGUUCAUUUCUUGGUAGGUAUGGAACCGAAAAAGCCCCGCACAUUUCGGUCUUGGUAGCUUCAAGUUACACGCUAGGAUCAAGUAAGAGUCUCUUGAUUGGCGGGAGCAAUUAAAACCUGAAUCCAUGCGAGGGCCUGGCUGGUAAGCACUUCAGUUCUGCAGAUGAUAGUUUUGUUUGUUUGAAAUUGAACAGUUUUUAUGGAGGUGGAAGAUUUAAUCUGUUGCACAGAAAGUUCAUGAGAGAUAUUGUAAGUUAAUUCAUUCUGGUGCUCUGUUGAUUCUAUCCGAUAUAAUUGUACGAUUACAAUCGGACAUUUGAGACAAAAUAUAAGGGAAGCUGGGGCAAGACGGAGUGGACCUUUUUCUUACCAGUCAGGUGCUGUACUCUGUUGACAACCUUCGUAACUAUCUUGAAGGAGAAGGGCAAGACAAGACUACAAACAAACCGGCAGCCAUCUUGAGUCACGUCUUUGUUGCCAGUGGAUUAAAACGUAUUUCUAAAAUAGUACAUAACGACCAGAGAAAAACGCUCAUGUGAUGGUGACGAAGAUGACGACGAGGUUCAUCAUAUUUGCGAAUUUUGUAAAUACAAUUUUUCAACCAAUAUCAAAUUAUAUGUUUUUAUUUGUGUAACAUUACAUAAGUUGAUUUCGAAAAACAA